Molecule: transfer RNA, 358 nt
Filed under: uncultured Microcystis sp.
Lineage: Bacteria; Bacillati; Cyanobacteriota; Cyanophyceae; Chroococcales; Microcystaceae
Description: partial 16S-23S ribosomal RNA intergenic spacer
Rfam family: tRNA (bases 133-206)
Source: RNAcentral
AAGGGGGACCUAAUUCGGGUAGGAGACGAAAAAAAAGUAGUCCCUACCAAGAAUCAAUCCCAAAAGGUCGGAACGAGGUAUGAGGCUUUCAAACUAGGUUCUGGGUUCAUAAAAGACCUGAAUCAGGAACAAGGGCUAUUAGCUCAGGUGGUUAGAGCGCACCCCUGAUAAGGGUGAGGUCCCUGGUUCGAGUCCAGGAUGGCCCACCUGCACAGGUGGCAAAAACAAGAGAAGCUCCGAAUCAGCACCUUAUCUUAUAUACAUAUAUAAGAGAGAGUGCUGGCUCUGAGUACAGAGUCCAGAGGAACCUUGAAAACUGCAUAGAGCUAGGUGAAAAAGCCAAAAAAGGAGACCGCAA